Pseudomyrmex gracilis is the source of this 332-nucleotide long non-coding RNA. RefSeq lists it as uncharacterized. Lineage: Eukaryota; Metazoa; Arthropoda; Insecta; Hymenoptera; Formicidae. The record is from RefSeq and is a predicted model, not a curated record. The transcript is spliced from 3 exons.
AGGAAAGUGAACAUACUAGCAAUAAUAAAUUGUGUUAUUAACAACAUAUAUUCAGACGAAGGCCUGUCGAUGAUUACUAACAAAAAUACAAUAUUGUUCUUGAAUACACUGCUGCAUAAACAUCACACUUUAAAUGAACCAUUUAUUCUCGACGCAAUUAAAACAAAAGUUAGAAAUCGUCGUAGUUUUUUAUAUAGCGCAAAAAAUACAAUUCAGUGUAUACCCUAUUAUGUUUUUAAUUACAAACACACCUCAUCAUUUCUAUACGUUAGCUGCACAUAAGUUCUCUGUUUAUAAUACUGAACUUUUUAUAAUGAAACAAAAAAUUUAGC